Bemisia tabaci is the source of this 917-nucleotide non-coding RNA. Lineage: Eukaryota; Metazoa; Arthropoda; Insecta; Hemiptera; Aleyrodidae. The record is from RefSeq and is a predicted model, not a curated record.
AUUUUGGUGUUCACUUUGAUAAGGUAAGUAGGCUGCUAAAAAGAACAAAAAAGAUUUAGAUUUAGAAACAGUUGAAGACCCGCCACCCAAGUUACUUGCAACUCUCUUAUGCUUGGUGUUCCAGGGAGAACAACAGGCCUGAUUUUAAAAAAAGUAUAUUGAAAAAUGUUUUCUGACAGAGGCAACCCUGUAAAAUAUGACACCUAAAGCGGCAAGCCUGGGUAUUUGUACAACUUGAAAUAUACAAAAUCUGAACUUACGUGGGCCAUGAAUAGUAUCCAAAAUAAUGUUUAUGCACAUAACGUGAUUGGUCCCACUCUUCGGAAUUUUUCGGGAUGUUUUCUGGGCAGUAUGUCAGCCAUUUAUUGUCCUCACGGUUACCAGGCACUACUCUACUGGAGGGCUUUUCAACACCACUAAUCUUCCCCUGAAUUGGCACGCUGACUCCAAAUUGUCAUCAAAAUCUAUCCUCGCAAAAAUCAUCAGGUAAAUGACUUUUUCUGAUCUCUUUUUUGACCCCUUGUUGCCAACUUUCCACUAGAAAUCUACUCUGCUUAUACCCUACAGGAACUCAAUCGAACACUUGUUGGAGCUAUCGACCAUGAACACAUGAAAGAAAGAUGUAAAAUCAGCCAAAAUAGCGGAAUGAUAUUGUUAGGUGAAUAUUUUUUGACAUGAAAAGCAAAUUAACAUAAGAGAAAAAACUACCAUCAAAUAUCAUCAAAUGUCAAUCUACAGAAAAAUACCCAUGACCCUAUCUAUUCUAAAGUCAGCUAAAUACUGCCAACUUUGCAAAUUGAUUGAUGCGUAUCAAUUUGUCCUGAGAUGGUACUGACAAGUAGACUCACCUGUAGAUGCAAAUGGGUUGAAAGCAAAAUGAAAGUAGAAAAAAUUCAUGAUAAAAAAAGAUAAGCAGG